Ictalurus punctatus (channel catfish) is the source of this 115-nucleotide small nuclear RNA. Its record names the gene U5. It matches the Rfam family "U5 spliceosomal RNA". From Rfam's summary of the family: U5 RNA is a component of both types of known spliceosome. The precise function of this molecule is unknown, though it is known that the 5' loop is required for splice site selection and p220 binding, and that both the 3' stem-loop and the Sm site are important for Sm protein binding and cap methylation. The record is from Ensembl. Lineage: Eukaryota; Metazoa; Chordata; Actinopteri; Siluriformes; Ictaluridae.
CCACUCAUGUUUCUCUUCAUAUCGUAUAAAUCUUUCGCCUUUUACUAAAGAUUUCCGUGGGGAGGAACACUAUGAGUAUAAACUAAUUUUUUGUCGCCCCACUUUAUGGUGGGGC